GAUGAACGCUGGCGGCGUGCCUAAUACAUGCAAGUCGAGCGAACGGACGAGAAGCUUGCUUUUCUGAUGUUAGCGGCGGACGGGUGAGUAACACGUGGAUAACCUACCUAUAAGACUGGGAUAACUUCGGGAAACCGGAGCUAAUACCGGAUAAUAUUUUGAACCGCAUGGUUCAAAAGUGAAAGACGGUCUUGCUGUAACUUAUAGAUGGAUCCGGGCUGCUUUAGCGAGUUGGUAAGGUAACGGCCUACCAAGGCAACGAUGCAUAGCCGACCUGGGAGGGGGAUCGGCCACCCUGGAACGGGGACACGCCCCAGACUCCUACGGGAGGCAGCAGUAGGGAAUCUUCCGCAAUGGGGGAAAGCCUGACGGAGCAAGGCCGCGUGAGUGAUGAAGGUCUUGGGAUCGUAAAACCCUGUUAUUAGGGAAGAACAGAUGUGUAAUGAACUGUGCACAUCUUGACGGUACCUAAUCAGAAAGCCACGGCUAACUACGUG
This 497-nucleotide ribosomal RNA is filed under the name uncultured bacterium. RNAcentral describes it as "partial 16S ribosomal RNA". It matches the Rfam family "Bacterial small subunit ribosomal RNA", at positions 28 to 507 of the family's 1533-position model. The record is from RNAcentral.